UGUGCACCAGUGGGGUCCCUCAACCUGGCCUGCGUGAUGAGGCCGAAACCAGCUCUCUGACAUCCCCUAAGGGGUCCUGGAUUGCGAGAGGGUGCAGGCCAGGCUGAGGGACCCCACUGGUGCACA
This is a non-coding RNA of Myotis davidii, 126 nucleotides long. Lineage: Eukaryota; Metazoa; Chordata; Mammalia; Chiroptera; Vespertilionidae. The record is from Rfam.